CCCUUAGAUGUUCUGGGCUGCACGCGCGCUACACUGAAGCUAUCAACACGUUUUCCCUCCCUGAGAAGGGCGGGUAACCUUUUGAAUCAGCUUCGUGGUAGGGAUCGGGGCUUGCAAUUGUUCCCCGUGAACCAGGAAUUCCUAGUAGACGCGAGUCAUAAGCUCGCAUCGAUUAAGUCCCUGCCCUUUGUACACACCGCCCGUCGCUACUACCGAUUGAACGUUUUAGUGAGGCAUUUGGACCGACGCAUCUCAGUUUGACCGCUGGUUUGUGUUGGAAAGACUUCCAAACUUGAGCGUUUAGAGGAAGUAAAAGUCGUAACA
Molecule: ribosomal RNA, 324 nt
Filed under: uncultured eukaryote
Lineage: Eukaryota
Description: partial 18S ribosomal RNA
Rfam family: Eukaryotic small subunit ribosomal RNA
Source: RNAcentral